RNAcentral lists this ribosomal RNA (253 nucleotides) under uncultured bacterium. Its description in RNAcentral is "partial 16S ribosomal RNA". It matches the Rfam family "Bacterial small subunit ribosomal RNA", at positions 524 to 776 of the family's 1533-position model. The record is from RNAcentral.
UACGUAGGGGGCAAGCGUUGCCCGGAAUCAUUGGGCGUAAAGAGCGUGUAGGCGGCCCGAUAAGUCCGCUGUGAAAGUCCAGGGCUCAACCCUGGAAUGCCGGUGGAUACUGUCGGGCUCGAAUCCGGAAGAGGUGAGUGGAAUUCCUGGUGUAGCGGUGAAAUGCGCAGAUAUCAGGAGGAACACCAAUGGCGAAGGCAGCUCACUGGGACGGUAUUGACGCUGAGGUGCGAAAGCGUGGGGAGCAAACAGG